This 7488-nucleotide long non-coding RNA is filed under the name Triticum aestivum (bread wheat). RNAcentral describes it as "long non-coding RNA (TAES_LNC007519)". The record is from RNAcentral. Lineage: Eukaryota; Viridiplantae; Streptophyta; Magnoliopsida; Poales; Poaceae.
UUUUUUUUUUGCUUCAAUCGGCCGCCCAACAUCCAUAUUUGACUAAUCCUGCCUCUGCUACUGCUCCUUGAUGAACCCAGGUGAUUUGAUUGCCCCACAAGCCAUGAAGAUCCUUCAGUAGCCUUUUGUCUCCUUUUGGACAUGGCCAAAAGUCUCACCCCCCAUGCUUGCACUAGUAGAAAAACACCUAAUAGUCCCGGUUCGUGAGAGCCUUUAGUCCCGGUUCAUGAACCGGGACUAAUGGGUCGUUACUAAUACCUCCAUUCAUUAGUCCCAGUUCAAACAAGAACCAGGACUAAUGUGCCUCCACGUGGCUCUGUGCGCCCAGCCCAGUCAGCGGGCCUUUGGUCCCGGUUGGUGGCAUCAACCGGGACCAAAAGUCCAUGUUUUUUUUUGAAAAGUGUCUGCUUUAGGGGUUUUGGGGGUUAUUUUUAGGUUGUUAUAUUAGCUAGCUAAUAGAGAGAAGUGUCCUCUCUUAUAUCUUCGUUCUUGGUUUACCAACGCUGCUGCUAUAUAUGUUCAUUUUCCCCGCUGAUAUAAUAACUCAUGCAUGCUCGCAUACAUCAGCAUAUAUAAUAAGAAGUACUCGUCCUACUAAUCAUGCAUCAUCAUACAACUUCUACUCGUUAUUAAUAAUAAGUCAUACGAUCAUCAUCCUCAUAGUCAUCGAACCCAACCCUACAUAAUUGUUCUUAACACAUGAUCAUCAGUAUCAGGUAGGACCUAAACACCCUUAAGGUAAAAUAGCAUAAAACAAUAUAGACCCUGACUCUCCAUUAUGAAGAAUGGCGAUCAUCCUGUCUCCAAUUUUUGCCCUUCGCUGAAUGUUGCUUCCAAGAAGCUCCUUACGACUGUCCAUACAUUUUUUCCAUUAUUUGAUUGUCAUGUCUCCACUUCUUUUAGAAACCUGGUAUGGACAGUUCAGAUUCGUAGGAAGACCUGGUUGUAUGUUCAAAAUAUGAAGGCUACCGUGUGUAUACAUCAGAUGAGGCACACAAUCAUUCGGGAUUAUCUGUUGAAAAACAUAGUAAUAACUUCGUAGUUAGCAAUGAUAUGAUGUACUAGUUUUAGAAGCGUGCAAAAAGAUGCACGGAUGUUGUAAUAGUAAAAAAUCUUACCCGGGUAUCUCCAUGGUAGUUACCGUAGUUCAACACGUGCACUAGUGACACGUAUUGACCAUAAUGUUGAGGAGUUCGAUUGUAGACAUUGUAAUUCUCAAGAUCAGUACAAAAUGCGACCAGAUGAUUUUUCUCCUGAUAAGUUAGUUCGGAGCCUUCGGUGUAGUAGGUUCUGUCUACCAUCUUCCGCACAUUCUUUGAAGAAUGAAAAUAAGCUGUCAAUGGAGAAUAAGUUGUCAACUAUUUUGAAAUAAACAAUAUAAACUACUUAAUAACUAUGUUAAGCUCACAUGGGGGAAGAAUUGAAGGUGUAUCCACAAGGACGAAAAUCGUAGGUCUCUCUUGCUCGAUUGUAGGAUCACCAAGAUCCAUGGUACAAGCAUACCCUCAUCAAAACCAUACAUCUUGCAAAGUGCUUCCCAAUUUUUACAACCAAAAUGGGUUACACUCUGAGCAUUGUACAACUUUACUUGAAAAUCCACACCAUGAUGGGUACUUAGGAUAAUUUUUUUGGUUUUGAAACUUUCAUGGUCUUCAAAACCCAUCCUCUCCAAGACAUAGCGUCUUGCAAAGCAUGGGAUAAGCUAGUUGAAUUGGAAAAGAUGAAAAAUAUUGUCAUGAUUAAAAUAGUUGAAGUCAUGAGUAAUUACGAAAAAAAACUAUUAUCGUCGGUUGCGUACCGUAUGAACAUCGAAGGUCUCCUCGAGCUUAAUGCUGAAGCGACGAUCUUCGUCCAACACAAUGAACCUAUCGCAGAUACCUCGGUCGUCGUGGCACCAGUCACACUCCCCCGGGCGGUUUUCGUCGUCCGAUGAGUACGACAUUUCCGGCCUACGUUCAUAAUUCAAAUAUUAAACUAGAUCAUUAUUAUUAAUCACGGGUUGACUAUCGAUGAUCGAUGUACGUAACUCCUCCUUUCAUUUCCGAAUGCAUUAUUAUAUCAAAUUGCCUAGCACACGGGAAUGAAGGAGAACUUAUCCAAUAUGAACAUUCAAUAAGCAAAACCAAAUUAUAAAAUAAGCAAAACCAAAUCAUAAAAUAAAGUAUAGUAUUCAAAUUAGCAUGCAUUCAAUAAUUAUAAGCAAAAGUACAUCAUCUCUUGGUGUCCGUACAUCGUCGAAUAUUAUCACUAAUACAACUAGAACCGUAGCGCCCGACGGGUAUCGACGCGGGCGGUGGACACCCAAAGAUAAGGAACCAUCACAGGAUCAUAGCUCCAGUGAGAUCCCUGAAGAACCUGCCAGGUAUUGUCGAACCUGCCCUCCAAUGCAACCAUGUAGUCACGGACGUGCUCAUCCUCCUCGCUGACACGGUGACGUACCACCUCCGCGGUGUCCGGAUGCCUCACCACCGUCACUGGCCCACGCGACCGCCACCAAACAAGGAUCGGGUCAACAACGGGCUGCCUCCUCACCAACCUACGUCCCCUGGAAGGUAGCACCUCCACUACUAGAAUCUGGCACUUUGCCAUCUGCCAUGGCAGAUGGCAAAGACAUGGUUAGCGGAUGGCAAAGGCUUUGCCAUCUGCCAGCAGAUGGCAAACAGUUUGUCUGAAACCCUGCCGGUAAAGGCUUCUUUGCCAUCAGCUGGCAGAUGGCAAAGCCUCUUAACGAGGUUAGCCAUGUUAGAAGCCUAACGGCAUACUUUGCCGUCUGCCAGCAGAUGGCAAAGGCUGCAGGCUCUUUGCCGUCUGCCAACAGAUGGCAAAGGCUGCAUGCUUUGCCAUCUGCCAGCACAUGGCAAAGAGCUUUGCCAUCUGCCGGUAGAUGGCAAAGAGCCCAAAUAGGCCAGCCCAAAUUUUACAUGUAGAUGACACGUGGCCUCUUUGCCAUCUGCUGGUAGAUGGCAAAGUGACUAUAUUGCCCCAUUUAAUUUUAUUUUUUCUUAUAUCAAUUCAUUUUCACCUUCCAAUGAAAUCAGAUAGCAAUAUCAGGGCAUGAACAGAUCUAAAGAACACAAACCACAAGCAUAGACUCGGAGAAGACCAGGCACGACCACUGUGACGUCACUUCCCUUAAUAAUUAUAUCCUUACACUAUACACGUUUCACAACUAUAAUUUGAACACCUGCUUGCCAUAAAUAAAUAUAUGUUUACACUAUACACAAGUGAAUCAUGUUGUGUCAUUUACAUGACGGGUAAAUUAAAUGAACAUGUCUUGAUUAGGUACGACAUACGUUGGACAAGGAAGAGACCUGCAGAUAAAUAACACAAUUAAACAAACAAGUACUGAAAUAUAAGUGUUCCGCAUUAAGCUUGCUAGUAAGGAAAAUAUCAGGAGAUGGCUUGCUAGCUUUCACUUCUAAAUCACCCCCAUGGCAACUUGAUACAUCAGAGCAAGAAAACAUUCCCCAAUGGUUACAAACCUUCGGUGUAAAAUGACAUUCAUGGGAUCUGAAGACAUCACUAAGAAAUAUCAGGUUCUAUAUGAGUCUGACUUAUUAAAGAACAGAGGGCAAUGACGAAAAGUGUACUACAUUAAAUCAAGGCCAAAUGAUACAUUGCAUGCAUCAGCGAGCAGAAAAAUAAAUGGUGUCUAAUAUUAUAUUUUCCCCUUCCAAUAGAGAGACUCCUUCUAUAUGUUUAACCAGUGAUUAAUUCCGGUUACACCAAAUAAACAUAGUUCUAAAUGAUACCAACAUUUUUUAUGAAACAAAGGACAACCAAACUAACUCCCCUCGCGUGGAAACUUCAUGUCCUUUCAACUCUGAAAUUCCACCAAAGGUAAGCAUACAAUAAUUUUAUAGUGUAUAAUUAUACAAAAGAAGAACAUGUUACGUGUGUAGAUAGCGCAAGGUAGCAUAUUAUCAUUGAGAGCAUAUAUUAGCACAUAGUAUGAUGAAAAUUGGAACCGGAUGUACUGUCAGCAUGUCUUUCUCCUUAUUCUGUAUAUCAUCAUUUCCUCUACACUUGACAUGAUAGCUUGAGAAAAAAAGAUGAGUAUCCAGAUAUGUACAUAGUUAUGGCUAGAUUCCUUGUUUUGUCCAAGAAAGAUAAGUCAUGAGCCCAUCAUCUUAUUACAGCAAGGCACAUCUCUACCAGUGGUGCAAGAGGUGUAAAUUUUAUAUUUUCUUUUCAAGAAAAAACUCCUGCAAUUUCCAAAUGCAUGGCCGCAGCCGCUGGCUGCAACGUCGACCCAAUGGUGCUUGUCUGGGCGAAGUACAAGGCCGUUGGGCUCGUCGCCGGGGAGUUCUGCAACCCACAUCAGUUUCUAUGACUAUAAUUUCUACUAUUGUACUCUUUGUAGUUUUUAAUGCAUAAAUUAAUCUAAUGUUGGGAGAUUUCCAAGGACUAACUAAGACAAUAAGAAUCGGAGAGGAGAGUUUCUCAACAGCAACAAAAUGAAUUAGAGGAGAGUCAACUAACCUUCCUUUCUUGCUUCGUCACCCCCUCAUGGGUUAUGAGCUAUGACGACCAUGACGCCGGCCGUGCGUCCGAGCGCCUGUGGUCUGUACAUCGACGACCUGCCCUUUUCUCAUUUUCUGGUCACCGAAGAGUUCAAUCGACCAGAAACAUGGAAGGGCGAGAGUACUCAUGUUCCUGCCCUGUGUGUGUUUUCUUUGCGCGAAAGUUCCUGUUUCAGUAACAGAGGUAGAACAAUCAGAAAAUGAGAAGGUCUUUCACUUCCUUACAGAAUGAAAUUUCUGUCUUGCAAGUUUACAAAGUCAUCAAGUUAAGCACUUACGAUAAAAUUAUCUGACUCAGAAAGCUGAUAUCACUCAUACAAAAAACAUGUUAUACAAUAUUGAGUUUUGACAUAGCUAUCAAAUCUGAACUGAACUUCACAGAAUUCAAAAGUUGUAUAGCUGACAAUGGGCCGUAGAUGAUAAUUUUUCUGAGAAUAUAUAUGCUAGUUAGGCAAUCCUAAGAAGAGCUGGUAAAUAUCAAGAGGCAUAUGCAUACAACUGUACUACCGUAAAAGGAAAUAGGGAAGAACUCACCCGAUCAGAGCCAAGAGAACAAUGAGAACAUCCAGCUUACAUGCAACACCAUCGGUGGUAAAACUGCUGCUGUCCCUAAACUGAAGAAAAUAUCAAAGAAAUUAAACCAUCAUUACCAAUGAGUGGAUUUGUAAGAAAACCAACAACAUGAAGAUCCUUGAUGUAUUAGUAAUUAAUAGGACUAGUCGUCAACCCGUGCAUCCGCACGGGCUAGUCUAUAUAGGUACUAAAACAUUUAUUUGAUAAACCAUAUUUAGAGAUAUAAAAUAUAAAAGUACUACAUUUACCCACUUGUUUUAUUGGAAACAUGCAAAUUUAUGGUUGCUUAUAUAGGAAAAGAAAAUUGUUUAUUUUUUCCAUGAUUAAUGCUAACAAAUACAAAUUCAGAUGUACACGAAAUCAUAAAAAGUGAUGUUGCAAUAACUUAAACACUUUUGAUGACAUCUCAUUUUUGGUGCAUUUACCUGAGUUUUUCCUUGCUUCUUUACUUCAAAAAUAAAGCAUGUGUGUAAAAACCUGAUAGAAUUGAUGCCAUAUGUAUCUUAUUUGUGAGCUUGAACGACUGAAAAUCUUGAAGAGAAUACAAACUUUGAAAAUUAUAGAAACUACAGGUAAUUAUUGUAUUUGUUAUUCAUAGAUCUCAUCUUCCAUUUAUGCCACUACCAAGAUCGGUUCUUCAUAUAUGAGCUUUGAGAUCCAAUUAUUCGUUACUUGGUGCCCUGCAUAAUGAGUAAGAAGGUACGUAGUCAAACGCGUCUCAGCUGACAUAUUAAAAUAAAAAAUGAUUUGUUUCUUAUGGCAGCUAAUGUGUGUGCCAUCUAGUAACAGGUCCAAAAAUAUAUCGUAAGAGGCCACACAAUGGCAGCAUCACCAGUUCCUUUGUUGUAGUUUAAAGGCAGCCUCAGAUUUCACUGUGGAAUAGGAAAACCACGUUCCUAAGAAAAUUAUCAGGUGAUUCCACAUGCAUAAGAAACGUUCUUCAUUAAUUUAUUCACCAUCCGAAACCCUACUGAAGCAGAGUUUUGUACAAAACAUCCAGUCAUCAAUUAUUCAAGAUGUACUAAGACAACUCAUUAUAAGUUUAUAACCAGCUGUCUAUGUACAAUUCUGAUCUCUAUGAAAAGUUCAAACAAUUAGUUUAAGAUUAGGCAGUAAGACUGCUGUUCAUUAACUAAAAUAUUCAGAGAUGGAUCUUCACAAAAGACAAUUAUUUUCGAUACCAAAUAUGAAAGUGUGAUCUCGGAAAAGAAUUUACUUUGUAACAGAAUAGUACCACACUAUUAGAAAAGGGCAAUGGGUAAAAAAAAAACAUGACAGAAGAAGUGCCAACCUACUGUUCUACCAGUACAACAAAGCCGUAAUACGGAAACUAAAAGGACACUUAAUUAGGAGCUCCUAGCUCAAGAAUAGCUAAUAGCAUCAUCCUCCCUUUUUCAAGCUAACCUAAUUAUACAUCAUCAUAACAAAUAUUUGAAAAGGGAAACAUUAUUAAAAUGACCAUAAAACAGCAUGAUAUAUGUCCAUAAAUACAAACUACAAAGAGCAGGUUAGUAAUAUAGCACACAAUAAUUUGAACUAACUCAAUCAUUGCAGGUCUGUACAUGCAAGCUUAACAUGAAAUACCAUAGCUUUUCUUGUGUGUGAGUUUCUCCUUCCAACACACAGAAAUUGCGAUAUACUUUGUUUGUAUUGGUCAUCAGAAUGAGAAUAUGAAUCUUUUGAAGUGAUUUUUCAUUGCAGUAAGGAUACUGUCAUAACAAUCUGAUGGCUUGUUAGAGUUUUGACGACAUACGAUUUCCUAGAUUUAACCUACAAAAAAAUGAUCUAUAAGUUAUACCGUAGCCGUUUUUAUUUCAGUAAAUUUUAAUUAGAUAAAUGUCAUAAUAUAGAGCAUCUACAAACAGAGAUUGCAUAUAAUGUCACACGGGCUUGCUAUUACCUUGUUAAAUCUAUCUAUAUGUUUGCUUCAAACCAAAAUCAAGUGAAUCAUUAUAAAUCAUUGUUCCAAGAAAAUAAUAAGCUAAGUGCACAUCUUCAACCAGGGAGUUCUGUUCAAGCUCGGCGCAUAAAGAAAUUUAGUGCUACAUCCACAUGAGCUGUGAAAUUCUUUGUGCAAAUCUAUUUCUGUUUCACCACAUUGUUGCACUGAAAGUAUUGGAUUACCUGAAUAGAUCGAUCCAGCAGCGCGAGCCAACAGCCGGGAGCCUGCUCCCCUCCGUCGCGGGCCACUGCCGUGCCGCGCAGCUCCAGUCGCCGCGGGCCGCGACGCCCGCCUCCCGCCGCCUUGGGCCCCGCCGCGUCGCGCCCAGCGGCGUGAGCGAGCGAACAACCGUGAGCCGCGGCGCCCGCCUCCCGCCGCCUUGGGCCCCGCCGCGUCGCCCACGCCUCCAGCCGCCGCUCGCUAGGGUUGCUGUGUGUGAGUCGGGGUGGA